GGCCAGACUCCUACGGGAGGCAGCAGUGAGGAAUAUUGGUCAAUGGGCGGGAGCCUGAACCAGCCAAGUCGCGUGAGGGAAGACGGUCCUACGGAUUGUAAACCUCUUUUGCCGGGGAGCAACGGGGUCCUUGCGAGGGCCCGAUGAGAGUACCCGGAGAAAAAGCAUCGGCUAACUCCGUGCCAGCAGCCGCGGUAAUACGGAGGAUGCGAGCGUUAUCCGGAUUUAUUGGGUUUAAAGGGUGCGUAGGCGGGCUGUUAAGUCAGCGGUAAAAUGUCGGGGCUCAACCCCGGCCUGCCGUUGAAACUGGGGAUCUUGAGUGGGCGAGAAGUAUGCGGAAUGCGUGGUGUAGCGGUGAAAUGCAUAGAUAUCACGCAGAACUCCGAUUGCGAAGGCAGCAUGCCGGCUCCACACUGACGCUGAGGCACGAAAGCGUGGGUAUCGAACAGGAUUAGAUACCCGAGUAU
Molecule: ribosomal RNA, 467 nt
Filed under: uncultured bacterium
Lineage: Bacteria
Description: bacterial SSU rRNA
Rfam family: Bacterial small subunit ribosomal RNA
Source: RNAcentral